CGAAGUGGCAUCACUUUGUUGUUAUAGUUUCGGCGCUUAAUGAUGGGUGUGCGUAUGAUUAGAUAGUUGGCGAGGUAACGGCUCACCAAGUCUACGAUCAUUAGCUGAUGUGAGAGCAUGAUCAGCCACACGGGCACUGAGACACGGGCCCGACUCCUACGGGAGGCAGCAGUAAGGAAUAUUGGUCAAUGGACGCAAGUCUGAACCAGCCAUGCCGCGUGAAGGAUUAAGGUCCUCUGGAUUGUAAACUUCUUUUAUAUGGGACGAAAAAAGGUCUUUCUAGACCCCUUGACGGUACCAUAUGAAUAAGCACCGGCUAACUCCGUGCCAGCAGCCGCGGUAAUACGGAGGGUGCAAGCGUUAUCCGGAUUCACUGGGUUUAAAGGGUGCGUAGGCGGGUAGGUAAGUCAGUGGUGAAAUCCUGGAGCUCAACUCCAAAACUGCCAUUGAUACUAUCUAUCUUGAAUAUUGUGGAGGUAAGCGGAAUAUGUCAUGUAGCGGGUGAAAUGCUUAGAUAUGACAUAGAACACCC
This 532-nucleotide ribosomal RNA is filed under the name uncultured Bacteroidota bacterium. RNAcentral describes it as "bacterial SSU rRNA". It matches the Rfam family "Bacterial small subunit ribosomal RNA", at positions 181 to 711 of the family's 1533-position model. The record is from RNAcentral. Lineage: Bacteria; Pseudomonadati; Bacteroidota.